This 73-nucleotide transfer RNA is filed under the name Ictidomys tridecemlineatus (thirteen-lined ground squirrel). RNAcentral's name for it is "Spermophilus tridecemlineatus (thirteen-lined ground squirrel) tRNA". It matches the Rfam family "tRNA". From Rfam's summary of the family: Transfer RNA (tRNA) molecules are approximately 80 nucleotides in length. The record is from Rfam by way of RNAcentral. Lineage: Eukaryota; Metazoa; Chordata; Mammalia; Rodentia; Sciuridae.
GGGAAUAUAGCUCAAUUGGUAGAGUGCUUGCCUUGCAUGUAAAAGAUACUGGGUUCAAUCCCCAGCACCACCA